UUGAGAUUGCUCGCAUGUGUGGGCCGGGGUAGGUGAGACGGAACAUGUCAUCGAUGCCCAAAUGAGCAUAUAUUCACCUUCAACUUCAAGAAGUGAAUUAAGCAUCCAUUGGCUAAAGUUUGUUUGUAACGAAGGCCGGUGCUGCAUGCUUUGGUUACUGGUGCCUGAUUUGCUUGC
Alnus glutinosa is the source of this 177-nucleotide long non-coding RNA. RefSeq lists it as uncharacterized. The record is from RefSeq and is a predicted model, not a curated record. The transcript is spliced from 3 exons. Lineage: Eukaryota; Viridiplantae; Streptophyta; Magnoliopsida; Fagales; Betulaceae.